UUCUAGCUAGUCUAGUGGUCAGGAUUCCCGGUUUUCAACCAGGCAGCCCAGGUUCAAUUCCUGAGCAGAGAA
Sus scrofa (pig) is the source of this 72-nucleotide transfer RNA. It matches the Rfam family "tRNA". Rfam says of the family: Transfer RNA (tRNA) molecules are approximately 80 nucleotides in length. Their secondary structure includes four short double-helical elements and three loops (D, anti-codon, and T loops). Further hydrogen bonds mediate the characteristic L-shaped molecular structure. tRNAs have two regions of fundamental functional importance: the anti-codon, which is responsible for specific mRNA codon recognition, and the 3' end, to which the tRNAs corresponding amino acid is attached (by aminoacyl-tRNA synthetases). tRNAs cope with the degeneracy of the genetic code in two manners: having more than one tRNA (with a specific anti-codon) for a particular amino acid; and 'wobble' base-pairing, i.e. permitting non-standard base-pairing at the 3rd anti-codon position. NCBI's taxonomy places the organism in Eukaryota, Metazoa, Chordata, Mammalia, Artiodactyla, Suidae. The record is from Rfam.